This 1808-nucleotide ribosomal RNA is filed under the name marine metagenome. RNAcentral's name for it is "bacterial LSU rRNA". It matches the Rfam family "Bacterial large subunit ribosomal RNA", at positions 1 to 2066 of the family's 2925-position model. The record is from RNAcentral.
AAAUUCUAAAUACCAGUUUUUUGUGGAUGCUUUGGUUCAAAAGAAGAAGGACGUUGUACAAAACGAAACGUUAUACCUAGAGUGCACUCGGUGAGGUAUAAAUUUCCUCCGUGGGAAACCACUGGCUUUUAUUUAACUGGGUGAAUUGAAACAUCUAAGUAACCCAAGGAAAAGAAAUCAACCGAGAUUCCGUAAGUAUCGGCGAGAGAACAUGGAAAAGACCAAACACCUUGGAAAGUCACCGCCGAAAGAUGUGGAAAAAUCUACCAAAGAGGGUGAAAGUCCCGUAGACGUGGCUUCUAAGGUGUGUUCAAAAGAGUAAAACGAAAGUAUUUGUUUGAAUACAGGAGGCCCACCUUCUAGGUCUAAAUAUGCUUUUGAAACCAAUAGUGAACAAGUACCGUGAGGGAAAAGUGAAAAGAACCUUAACUAAGGAGUGAAAGAGAACCUGAAACAAAAAAUAACCAUGCAAUCGAUUUUCUCUGUACGGGAGGUCGGUGUACCUUUUGCAUAAUGGGUCAGCGAGUAAAUAAAAAAAGCGAGGCUUAAACGACGAAGUGGAGGCAAAGCAAAAGCGAGUAUGAAGAGUGCGUGUGUUUUUUUUAUUUGACCCGAAACUAAGUGAUCUAGCUUUGAACAGGCUGAAGAAAGGGUAAAAGCUUUUGGAGGGCCGAACUGACGUCUGUUGCAAUAGACGCAGAUGAGUUGAGGCUAGGGGUGAAAGGCCAAUCAAACUUAGAGAUAGCUGGUUCUCCGCGAAAUUUAUUGAGGUAAAGCGUUCAACGAUGUAGAAAGGGGGUAGAGCACUCAUUAGGUAAAGGGGAUCCAAAGUCUUACUGAACUUAUUGAAACUCCGAAGACCUUUCUUUGAUAUCUUGAGCAGACAGACUUAAAGUGCUAAGGUUUUAAGUCAAAAGGGAAACAGCCCAGACUGUUCGCUAAGGUCCUUAAACAUUUUGGAAGUGGUAAAAGGCGUUUUAAAACAAAGACAGCUAGGAGAUUGGCUUGGAAGCAGCCAUUCUAUAAUGAAAGCGUAAUAGCUCACUAGUCGAGUUUUAAAGCACUGAUAAUGUAUCGGGGCUUCACAAAAUUACCCAAGCGACAGAGAACAAUGGUAGCGGAGCGUUUUGUAGACCGUAGAAGAAGUUUUGUGAAAAACUUUGGAGGAUUCAAAAGUGAGAAUGCUGACAUGAGUAACGAAAAAUCAUGUGACAAUCAUGAUCGCCGUAAGUUCAAGGGUUUCUGCGUUCUGUUUUUCAGCGCAGAGUGAUCCGGUCUCUAAGUGUGUUUUUGAUAAAAAACCACGAUGAAAAAAAUGAAAGAUGACGAAAUGUUUUUUAGAAACCAACAGUUUAUUGGAUAGCUUUUUCGUUUCUAAUGUUUCCAGGAAAAAUCUUCAUAAAAUUGACCGUACCCUAAACCGACACCGGUGAACGAGUCGAGUAGACUCAGGCGUUGAGAGAACCAUAUUGAAGGAACUCGGCAAAUUUUUCCUGUACCUUUGGAAGAAAGGAAGCCAAUUUUGGUGACACAAAAAUGGGGGUGACGACUUUUUACUAAAAAAUUAGGACUCUGCAAAAUGGGAACAUGAAGUAUAGGGUCUGACGCCUGCCCGGUGCUUGAAGCUUAACCUGUAUGCUUUUUUGGUAUAUUGAGAAGGCCUAGUAAACGGCGGUUGUAACUAUAACAAUCAUAAAGUAGCGAAAUUCAUUGUCAGCUAAUUCCUGACCUGCAUGAAAGGCGUAACGAUUGCCCCACUGUCUCCAGUGUGGACUCAGUGAAAUUGAAUUCUCCGUGCAGAUGCGGAG